AGAGUAAUGCAGAGUGAGGUAGAGUCAUGCAGAGUAAAGUAGAGUAAUGCAGAGUGAGGUAAAGCGAGGUAGAGUGAGGCAAACUAAUGCAGAGUGAGGUGAAUGGAGGUAGAGCAAGAUUGAGUUAGAGUCAUGUAGAGUAAAGUGGAGUAAUGCAGAGUGAGGUAGAGUCAUGCAGAGUAAAGUAGAGUAAUGCAGAGUGAGGUAAAGCGAGGUAGAGUGAGGCAAACUAAUGCAGAGUGAGGUGAAUUGAGGUAGAGCAAGACUGAGGUAGACUCAUGUAGAGUGAGGAAGAAGGUACACCAAAGAAACGUGAAGUAGAGUGGAAUAGAGUAAUGUAAAGUGAGGUAGAGUGAGGCAGUGAGUUGUUGAGUUCGAGAGAGUAAAGGACCGCGAGGUAGACUGAAGGUGGAUUGAGGUAAAGAGAGGUAGAGUGAAGUAGAGCCUAGUAGCGGAAGGCUGCACCGACCUGCACUCUGUCGCCCCCUGGAGAAGGGAGGGGUGGUAAUUGCUGUAGUGAUGUUACACAGUAAGACUGGGGGGGUGUUUGUGCUGCAUGGGGUGUGUUUUAGGCUCUUUAUCUGCAAACGACUGCAUUAAUUCUGCAUUAAGUGUGUGUUCAUGUCUGGAUGUGUCUCUACUGCUAGAGCUGCUCCUUUAGGUAUAACCUUCCUACUCCAACCAACCUGCCUGCAGCAUGCAGAACAGCUCAUGAGUUACUGACGAGUGUGAAGAUAUUUACUUGUUUUUGCUUGUUGUUUGUUUGUUUGUUUGUUUGUUUGUUUGUUGGGCACAACAGCAGCCAAGAGUUUGCUGAACAAGAAGACGGAUGGAGUGAAGGAGCCUCAGACUACAGUGAUCCAUAACCCUGUGGAGCGGAACAAGGUGAGACUUCUUUUUGAUGUCAGGGUGGACCGUCUGGGUAGGGGCACCACUACAGUCAUCACACCAGAAACACACUUUAGUUUGGAGUUUUCCGGCGGCCGGCAAGCUGUUACUCCAUUUCACUUCCCGCUGGUUUGUUUGUAACAUACUGUAAGACUCCUACUCGCCGAGUCCUGCUGACCAGAGAAACCCAACAGAUUCUCCCUGACGACCAGAACUUCAGCUGUGAACCGGCCGACCCAGUCACAAACAGUCCUCACUACUGAGAGCAGUCUGCUGACUUACAGUUCUGACCAAAUCCAGAACCCGUUUCACAGAACCUGAAAUAUCGUCACUCCACCUUUUAACAGAACGUCCCUUCUGUUCUUCUCAGGAGUCAACAGAGAGUGCCAACA
RNAcentral lists this long non-coding RNA (1280 nucleotides) under Astyanax mexicanus (Mexican tetra). Its description in RNAcentral is "lncRNA (ENSAMXG00005011031.1)". The record is from RNAcentral. Lineage: Eukaryota; Metazoa; Chordata; Actinopteri; Characiformes; Acestrorhamphidae.